GUUCUGAAACAGAGCAUUCUUAAUUAUCAAUUAUUACAUGUAAAUAAUUCUACAUCUUAGUACAUAAUUCCAUAAUAAUAAAAUUGAAAUUAGAAUGAUAACAAUUAAAUUAGAUUGAAAUAAAAGAAAUACUACUAUCAUACAUAUGUAAGUGCACACGUAUAAUUUAAAUUAUGAUUGCCGCCAAUCAUUUCUACAUUAUCGACGGAUGGAAAAUAUUAAUACUUUUGCGUUAUAUAUAAUGUCUAUGGUAAAACUAGUAUUUAUUUUUAACUCAUGUAUAUACAUAUUUAUUAAUUUUUACUACGAGACUCAAUAAUAUUAAUGAAAAACUGAUAUUAUUAAUAACGUUAAAAGCGUUACUACAUGUAAAAGUUAUUAACAAGUAUAAAACAAUUUGCAAACAUAUUACAAAACUACAGAAAAGCUAUCGUAACUUAUCAUUAUUAAACACACUUAUAACUGAAUAAUUGUAACAUACAACUUUCCAAGUAUAAUAACGAUAUUUAUAUGACAUAUAUAUUACUCAGGUUACAGCAACCUGAGUAAUAUAAUAUUUGAAAUCCGAGAAAAAUUUAUCCGAGUUAGUAACAUAUUUAUCGAAGUACAGUGUCUAAUUAUAUCAUAAACAAAUGACAAGUACAUAUCACAGAAAAGAUUUUAGUUUAUCAAAAUCUAGAACAUUAAAGAAUUUCGCUGUGAUUUUAAAACCCAUAUAUUUCAUUAUUAAUUAUUAUUCAUAAGUGGAAACUGUAAAAAGGAAAAAGAUAUUCGCUCUUUGGAAUUAAGUAAGUAAAUCUCUAUAUUUCUCUAUAUUACGAUAUUAGAUUAUAUGAAUAAAACAUAUGUCCAAAAAUUGUCUCUGAUUACUGAUUUUUUAUCUUUGUAGAUUCGGCAUAAUUAAUUUUUCAAGUACACAUGUCGAUGAUGUAAUUGCAGACGUGCGGAUUAUACCACAAAAUUGAAUGUAUAUUUAGACUCAUGUUGUGUUUCAAAUGUUAACAGGAAUAAAUAUAGUAGAUGUAACCGUGCUAAAUAUA
This is a long non-coding RNA of Bombus impatiens (common eastern bumble bee), 1040 nucleotides long. RefSeq lists it as uncharacterized. The record is from RefSeq and is a predicted model, not a curated record. The transcript is spliced from 2 exons. NCBI's taxonomy places the organism in Eukaryota, Metazoa, Arthropoda, Insecta, Hymenoptera, Apidae.